Ornithodoros turicata is the source of this 1200-nucleotide long non-coding RNA. RefSeq lists it as uncharacterized. NCBI's taxonomy places the organism in Eukaryota, Metazoa, Arthropoda, Arachnida, Ixodida, Argasidae. The record is from RefSeq and is a predicted model, not a curated record. The transcript has 3 exons.
ACACAGAACAAACAAACGAAAAAUUCGAAAACGCAGAUUGUCGCACCUUGAUGGAAAAUCCUAGGCAAUAUGCAAAAAAAAAAAAAAAAAAAAAUCUCUGAGGAACGAACACAAAGCCACCUAAUAGUCGACUUAUCCCUUUCUAUGUCACAUUAAAUUUAAAUUCCAUUAAAUUGUCGCGUCUUGCCCCGCGUGCAUGUCAUCGGAUGCAUUAAUUUUUCUGUUCAACGCCGGAUAACCAAGAGUGCCCAUAUUUUGUAUAUACGUAUCUAGACGAAUGCAUAAAGAAAUAGGAUGUGAACUUACACGGACAGAAAAAUCCUGCGAAACGCGGCUGCACAGAUUACAAGAAAAUGGACUACAGAAAAAUUGCGCCUUUUUGGUGGGUCUUUACAUUCCAGGCAAAACUAACAGAUUUUUUUUUCUCUCUCUCUCUCUCUUCAACGUAUACACCAAUACGCACAAUUCUCACGUGCAAUAAAGCGGACAUGUAGAGCCACCUAUGAGUAAAGUUUCAAGCGCAAUGAGCAACGCGUCUCUGAGACAGGCGGCGUCGAGCAAGAAAGUGUCGUGCAAGAAGAAAAUGUCGCGUCUUGUUCCACCUUGCCCUAUAAAGUCCGCCAUUCGAUUGCCCAUUGCUGAAAAUGGAAUACAGCGAAUUUAGCCGACCAAGAACGCCACGGCUCAAAUCUUACGGCUUAAAAUCAGCUCUCACGUCUGAUCGCUUGUAUAUAUCACUGCUUCUGCAUCGACACCUGCUUGCCGUAGUAUGAGUAGAGUCAUGGCGUUUAUGAGCAUGUUUCUAUCACGAGCCUGUUAAACGGAACGAAAUGAGCUAUAAAGAGUAAGUAAAGUCCGUAAGCAGUCAACUUACUGAGCACAGAUGUCUGCUGGAGCACAGACAAAUACCAGUAAGGAGCUUUCAUUCCCUGGGGGUGACUGCGCAUCGAAUCAUUCAGGAUGGGCAUCGUAGGCCUCACCGUUCUCCUGCUGGGCCUUUCCGCGACAGCACUCGGAAUUCUCCACUGUCCGGGGAAAAUUUCCCUUUUGGAGUGCCUCCACAUGAUGUUCUACAACUCUUGUGAGUCGGACACUGAUUGUCAGUACAUCUGCUGCGAGUACAGCUGCAAAAAUUUCUGCUCCGAGGACUACAUAAAUCGAUGGCCCUGAACGAGUCAAUAAAAAUCUUACUUCGUGCUA